GGGGAAUUUUGGACAAUGGGGGCAACCCUGAUCCAGCCAUUCCGCGUGAGUGAAGAAGGCCUUCGGGUUGUAAAGCUCUUUCGGCAGGAACGAAACGGUCGUCUCUAACAUAGAUGGCUAAUGACGGUACCUGAAGAAGAAGCACCGGCUAACUACGUGCCAGCAGCCGCGGUAAUACGUAGGGUGCGAGCGUUAAUCGGAAUUACUGGGCGUAAAGCGUGCGCAGGCGGAUUGUUAAGCAAGACGUGAAAUCCCCGGGCUUAACCUGGGAAUGGCGUUUUGAACUGGCAGUCUAGAGUGCGUCAGAGGGGGGUGGAAUUCCACGUGUAGCAGUGAAAUGCGUAGAGAUGUGGAGGAACACCGAUGGCGAAGGCAGCCCCCUGGGAUGACACUGACGCUCAUGUACGAAAGCGUGGGUAGCAAAC
This 425-nucleotide ribosomal RNA is filed under the name uncultured bacterium. RNAcentral describes it as "bacterial SSU rRNA". It matches the Rfam family "Bacterial small subunit ribosomal RNA", at positions 356 to 773 of the family's 1533-position model. The record is from RNAcentral.